AAGGUAGAGUUUGAUCAUGGCCAAGUCGUAACAAGGUAGAGUUUGAUCCUGGCUCAGGACGAACGCUGGCGGCGUGCCUAAUACAUGCAAGUAGAACGCUGAAGACUUUAGCUUGCUAAAGUUGGAAGAGUUGCGAACGGGUGAGUAACGCGUAGGUAACCUGCCUACUAGCGGGGGAUAACUAUUGGAAACGAUAGCUAAUACCGCAUAACAGCAUUUAACCCAUGUUAGAUGCUUGAAAGGAGCAAUUGCUUCACUAGUAGAUGGACCUGCGUUGUAUUAGCUAGUUGGUGAGGUAACGGCUCACCAAGGCGACGAUACAUAGCCGACCUGAGAGGGUGAUCGGCCACACUGGGACUGAGACACGGCCCAGACUCCUACGGGAGGCAGCAGUAGGGAAUCUUCGGCAAUGGGGGCAACCCUGACCGAGCAACGCCGCGUGAGUGAAGAAGGUUUUCGGAUCGUAAAGCUCUGUUGUAAGAGAAGAACGUGUGUGAGAGUGGAAAGUUCACACAGUGACGGUAACUUACCAGAAAGGGACGGCUAACUACGUGCCAGCAGCCGCGGUAAUACGUAGGUCCCGAGCGUUGUCCGGAUUUAUUGGGCGUAAAGCGAGCGCAGGCGGUUUAAUAAGUCUGAAGUUAAAGGCAGUGGCUUAACCAUUGUUCGCUUUGGAAACUGUUAGACUUGAGUGCAGAAGGGGAGAGUGGAAUUCCAUGUGUAGCGGUGAAAUGCGUAGAUAUAUGGAGGAACACCGGUGGCGAAAGCGGCUCU
Molecule: ribosomal RNA, 774 nt
Filed under: uncultured Streptococcus sp.
Lineage: Bacteria; Bacillati; Bacillota; Bacilli; Lactobacillales; Streptococcaceae
Description: bacterial SSU rRNA
Rfam family: Bacterial small subunit ribosomal RNA
Source: RNAcentral